Molecule: ribosomal RNA, 512 nt
Filed under: Oribacterium sp. C9
Lineage: Bacteria; Bacillati; Bacillota; Clostridia; Lachnospirales; Lachnospiraceae
Description: bacterial SSU rRNA
Rfam family: Bacterial small subunit ribosomal RNA
Source: RNAcentral
UCGGGGCAUUGGUGACAGGUGGUGCAUGGUUGUCGUCAGCUCGUGUCGUGAGAUGUUGGGUUAAGUCCCGCAACGAGCGCAACCCUUAUCUUCAGUAGCCAGCAGUAAGAUGGGCACUCUGGAGAGACUGCCAGGGAUAACCUGGAGGAAGGUGGGGAUGACGUCAAAUCAUCAUGCCCCUUAUGACUUGGGCCACACACGUGCUACAAUGGCGUAAACAAAGAGAAGCGAGAGCGUGAGCUGGAGCAAAUCUCAAAAAUAACGUCUCAGUUCGGACUGUAGUCUGCAACCCGACUACACGAAGCUGGAAUCGCUAGUAAUCGCGGAUCAGAAUGCCGCGGUGAAUACGUUCCCGGGUCUUGUACACACCGCCCGUCACACCAUGGGAGUUGGUAAUGCCCGAAGUCAGUGAUCCAAGAAAGGAAGCUGCCGAAGGCAGGACUGAUAACUGGGGUGAAGUCGUAACAAGGUAGCCGUAUCGGAAGGUGCGGCUGGAUCACCUCCUUUCUAAG